CGCGCGUACGGUGUGUUCGCAGGCACGUGAUACUUCGCACCCGGAUCGAAGUCCUGUUCAGUGCGUGGCACCGGCGGCACGAUACCCUGGUACUUCUCACGCAAAUCCCACCAAGCCUUAUUGCAAUUCUCCGGCUUAACUUCACCCGAAAAGACUUUCCAACGCCACUGGUCCACCAGGUAACCAAACGGCAGAAACGCGACCUUGUCGAGCGCGCGAUUGAGCAGGAACCCGAUGUCUGCACGCGGAUCCGGCACUUUCUCGAUCAAACCGAGUUGCUUCAGAUAAGGCGGCGUGACUGACAGUGCGACCGUGUCGCCGAUGGCUUCGUGAAAU
RNAcentral lists this unclassified non-coding RNA (336 nucleotides) under fungal sp. RNAcentral describes it as "partial internal transcribed spacer region". The record is from RNAcentral. Lineage: Eukaryota; Fungi.